UACGUAGGGAGCAAGCGUUGUUCGGAAUUAUUGGGCGUAAAGAGCUCGUAGGCGGUGUGUCGCGUCGGCCGUGAAAACCUGGGGCUCAACUCUGGGCGUGCGGUCGAUACGGGCAUCACUUGAGUUCGGCAGGGGAGACUGGAAUUCCUGGUGUAGCGGUGAAAUGCGCAGAUAUCAGGAGGAACACCGGUGGCGAAGGCGGGUCUCUGGGCCGAUACUGACGCUGAGGAGCGAAAGCAUGGGUAGCGAACAGG
Molecule: ribosomal RNA, 254 nt
Filed under: uncultured bacterium
Lineage: Bacteria
Description: partial 16S ribosomal RNA
Rfam family: Bacterial small subunit ribosomal RNA
Source: RNAcentral